This 345-nucleotide RNase P RNA is filed under the name Moraxellaceae bacterium. Its description in RNAcentral is "RNase P RNA component class A". It matches the Rfam family "Bacterial RNase P class A". Rfam says of the family: Ribonuclease P (RNase P) is a ubiquitous endoribonuclease, found in archaea, bacteria and eukarya as well as chloroplasts and mitochondria. Its best characterised activity is the generation of mature 5'-ends of tRNAs by cleaving the 5'-leader elements of precursor-tRNAs. Cellular RNase Ps are ribonucleoproteins. Lineage: Bacteria; Pseudomonadati; Pseudomonadota; Gammaproteobacteria; Moraxellales; Moraxellaceae. The record is from RNAcentral.
UGAGUGGGUUAGGCAAUCGCUCCUGGCAACAGGGGAGGAAAGUCCGGGCUCCAUAGGGCAGAACGCCAGGUAACACCUGGGGGGCGCGAGCCUACGGAAAGUGCAACAGAGAAUAAACCGCCACAGACUUCGGUUUGCGGUAAGGGUGAAAUGGUGCGGUAAGAGCGCACCGCGCAGCUGGUAACAGUCUGUGGCUAGGUAAACCCCGUUCGGAGCAAGACCAAAUAGGAAUCCAUUGGCGUGGCCCGCGCUGGAUUCGGGUAGGUUGCUUGAGGCCUGUGGUGACACAGGUCCCAGAUGAAUGAUUGUCCGCGACAGAACCCGGCUUAUCGACCCACUCCGCCU